AGGUGCGAUCAUACCAGCACUAAUGCACCGGAUCCUAUUAGAACUACGCAGUUAAGUGUGCUUGGGCCAGAGUAGUACUAGGAUGGGAGACCUCUUGGGAAGUCCUCGUGUUGCACCCC
This 119-nucleotide ribosomal RNA is filed under the name Gossypium arboreum. The record is from RNAcentral. Lineage: Eukaryota; Viridiplantae; Streptophyta; Magnoliopsida; Malvales; Malvaceae.